AUUGAACGCUGGCGGUAUGCUUAACACAUGCAAGUCGAACGAUGAGAAAGAGCUUGCUCUUUCGAUUAGUGGCGGACGGGUUCGUAACGCGCAGGAAUCUAACUAUUAGUGGGGGACAACUUAGGGAAACGUAAGCUCAUACCGCAUACGCCCUACGGGGGAUAGAAGGGGAUCUCAAGACAGUUUGCUAAUAGAUGAGCCUGCGUAGGAUUAGAUAGUUGGUGGGGGAAAAGCUCACCAAGGCGACGAUCCUUAACUGGUUUGAGAGAAUGAUCAGUCACACUGGAACUGAGACACGGUCCAGACGCCUACGGGAGGCAGCAGUGGGGAAUAUUGGACAAUGGGCGAAAGCCUGAUCCAGCAAUACCGCGUGUGUGAAGAAGGCCUUAGGGUUGUAAAGCACUUUCAAUUGGAAGGAAAACCUCGAAGCUAAUACCUUCGAGUUUGACAUUACCUUUAGAAGAAGCACCGGCUAACUCCGUGCCAGCAGCCGCGGUAA
This 499-nucleotide ribosomal RNA is filed under the name uncultured bacterium. Its description in RNAcentral is "partial 16S ribosomal RNA". It matches the Rfam family "Bacterial small subunit ribosomal RNA", at positions 30 to 523 of the family's 1533-position model. The record is from RNAcentral.